GGAAGCUUUUUGAUGAAAUAGAGACGACGGAAAGUGAAUUGGCUGGGAAUAAAGGAUAUUUGGAUGGUGAGAAGAUGAUGGUUGUGAGAUCAAAGAGGCCAGGAAGGGUAAAGGCAGUAAAUGGUUUGGGGAAUGAAAUGAAAGCGGGUGGAACAUGUGGUCUUGAGUAUGUGAAUCUCAUCCUUCUCACUCUCAUCAUU
This 200-nucleotide unclassified non-coding RNA is filed under the name Hevea brasiliensis (rubber tree). Lineage: Eukaryota; Viridiplantae; Streptophyta; Magnoliopsida; Malpighiales; Euphorbiaceae. The record is from RNAcentral.